AUACCCUGGUAGUCCACGCUGUAAACGAUGUCGAUUUGGAGUUUGUUGCCUAGAGUGAUGGGCUCUGAAGCUAACGCGAUAAAUCGACCGCCUGGGGAGUACGGCCGCAAGGUUAAAACUCAAAUGAAUUGACGGGGGCCCGCACAAGCGGUGGAGCAUGUGGUUUAAUUCGAUGCAACGCGAAGAACCUUACCUGGUCUUGACAUCCAUAGAAUUCUGCAGAGAUGUGGGAGUGCCUUCGGGAACUAUGAGACAGGUGCUGCAUGGCUGUCGUCAGCUCGUGUUGUGAAAUGUUGGGUUAAGUCCCGCAACGAGCGCAACCCUUAUUCUUUGUUGCCAGCGAUUUGGUCGGGAACUCAAAGGAGACUGCCGUUGAUAAAGCGGAGGAAGGUGGGGACGACGUCAAGUCAUCAUGGCCCUUACGACCAGGGCUACACACGUGCUACAAUGGCGUAUACAAAGGGAAGCGAAGGUGCGAGCUGGAGCGGAUCUCAUAAAGUACGUCUAAGUUCGGAUUGGAGUCUGCAACUCGACUCCAUGAAGUCGGAAUCGCUAGUAAUCGUAGAUCAGAAUGCUACGGUGAAUACGUUCCCGGGCCUUGUACACACCGCCCGUCACACCAUGGGAGUGGGUUGCACCAGAAGUAGAUAGCUUAACCGCGAGGGGGGCGUUUACCACGGUGUGAUUCAUGACUGGGGUGAAGUCGUAACAAGGUAACCA
Molecule: ribosomal RNA, 720 nt
Filed under: uncultured Enterobacteriaceae bacterium
Lineage: Bacteria; Pseudomonadati; Pseudomonadota; Gammaproteobacteria; Enterobacterales; Enterobacteriaceae
Description: bacterial SSU rRNA
Rfam family: Bacterial small subunit ribosomal RNA
Source: RNAcentral